This 475-nucleotide ribosomal RNA is filed under the name uncultured Methanosaeta sp. Its description in RNAcentral is "bacterial SSU rRNA". It matches the Rfam family "Archaeal small subunit ribosomal RNA", at positions 861 to 1338 of the family's 1478-position model. The record is from RNAcentral. Lineage: Archaea; Methanobacteriati; Methanobacteriota; Methanomicrobia; Methanotrichales; Methanotrichaceae.
GGAAUUGCGGGGAGCACCACAACGGGUGGAGCUUGCGGUUUAAUUGGAUUCAACGCCGGAAAUCUUACCGGGACCGACAGCAAUAUGAAGGCCAGGCUGAAGACUUUGCCGGAUUAGCUGAGAGGUGGUGCAUGGCCGUCGUCAGUUCGUACUGUGAAGCAUCCUGUUAAGUCAGGCAACGAGCGAGACCCACGCCCACAGUUGCCAGCGUACUCUCUGGAGUGACGGGUACACUGUGGGACCGCCGCUGCUAAAGCGGAGGAAGGAAUGGGCAACGGUAGGUCAGUAUGCCCCGAAUAUCCCGGGCUACACGCGAGCUACAAUGGUUGGUACAAUGGGUAUCUACCCCGAAAGGGGACGGGAAUCUCCUAAAACCAAUCUUAGUUCGGAUUGAGGGCUGCAACUCGCCCUCAUGAAGCUGGAAUCCGUAGUAAUCGCGUUUCAACAGAACGCGGUGAAUACGUCCCUGCUCCUU